AACCGGAAUUGAUCGAGCUCGGCCGAUCCUCCCACCCUUUGUGUACCUACCUCUGUUGCUUUGGCGGGCCGCGGUCCUCCGCGGCCGCCCCCCUCCCCGGGGGGGUGGCCAGCGCCCGCCAGAGGACCAUCAAACUCCAGUCAGUAAACGAUGCAGUCUGAAAAACAUUUAAUAAACUAAAACUUUCAACAACGGAUCUCUUGGUUCUGGCAUCGAUGAAGAACGCAGCGAAAUGCGAUAAGUAAUGUGAAUUGCAGAAUUCAGUGAAUCAUCGAAUCUUUGAACGCACAUUGCGCCCUUUGGUAUUCCGAAGGGCAUGCCUGUUCGAGCGUCAUUACAACCCUCAAGCUCUGCUUGGUAUUGGGCACCGUCCUUUGCGGGCGCGCCUCAAAGACCUCGGCGGUGGCGUCUUGCCUCAAGCGAAGUAGAACAUACAUCUCGCUUCGGAGCGCAGGGCGUCGCCCGCCGGACGAACCUUCUGAACUUUUCUCAAGGUUGACCUCGGAUCAGGUAGGGAUACCCGCUGAACUUAAGCAUAUCAAUAAGCGGAGGA
RNAcentral lists this ribosomal RNA (553 nucleotides) under Botryosphaeria dothidea. RNAcentral describes it as "eukaryotic LSU rRNA". The stretch from base 181 to 334 matches the Rfam family "5.8S ribosomal RNA". Lineage: Eukaryota; Fungi; Ascomycota; Dothideomycetes; Botryosphaeriales; Botryosphaeriaceae. The record is from RNAcentral.